CAUCACUUGGAAAGAGAUGGUGAGAUACCCAGCAGAAAGAGCAUUGUUUAGCACAGGCAAUAGUCACAAUUAGCAAGCCUUUCUUAAUCUAGCAUGAAAAUGAAUAAUGUUCUACUUCCGACACAUUUCUAGACCUUGAAGAUGAGAAAACAUCAGCGAGCAAAGUAGCUCAGAUAUGUAUCAAAACAAAAGACACAAAAGACCGAGCCGCCACUGGUCUUCCUAUAUUGUUCACCAUAGCUGCCGCUUGCUGGAC
RNAcentral lists this long non-coding RNA (256 nucleotides) under Hordeum vulgare. Its description in RNAcentral is "long non-coding RNA (HVUL_LNC001120)". Lineage: Eukaryota; Viridiplantae; Streptophyta; Magnoliopsida; Poales; Poaceae. The record is from RNAcentral.